This 484-nucleotide ribosomal RNA is filed under the name uncultured bacterium. Its description in RNAcentral is "partial 16S ribosomal RNA". It matches the Rfam family "Bacterial small subunit ribosomal RNA", at positions 29 to 507 of the family's 1533-position model. The record is from RNAcentral.
AUUGAACGCUGGCGGCAUGCUUUACACAUGCAAGUCGAACGGCAGCGCGGGCUUCGGCCUGGCGGCGAGUGGCGAACGGGUGAGUAAUACAUCGGAACGUGCCCAGUAGUGGGGGAUAGCUCGGCGAAAGCCGGAUUAAUACCGCAUACGACCUGAGGGUGAAAGCGGGGGAUCUUCGUACCUCGCGCUAUUGGAGCGGCCGAUGGCAGAUUAGCUAGUUGGUGGGGUAAAGGCCUACCAAGGCGACGAUCUGUAGCUGGUCUGAGAGGACGACCAGCCACACUGGGACUGAGACACGGCCCAGACUCCUACGGGAGGCAGCAGUGGGGAAUUUUGGACAAUGGGCGAAAGCCUGAUCCAGCAAUGCCGCGUGUGUGAUGAAGGCCUUCGGGUUGUAAAGCACUUUUGGCGGGAACGAAAAGGACUGUGCAAAUACCACGGUUCGAUGACGGUACCCGCAGAAUAAGCACCGGCUAACUACGUG